GUUUGAUCCUGGCUCAGAACGAACGCUGGCGGCAGGCCUAACACAUGCAAGUCGAACGCCGUAGCAAUACGGAGUGGCAGACGGGUGAGUAACGCGUGGGAACAUACCCUUCGGUUCGGAAUAACUCAGGGAAACUUGGGCUAAUACCGGAUACGUCCGCAAGGAGAAAGAUUUAUCGCCGAAGGAUUGGCCCGCGUCUGAUUAGCUAGUUGGUGAGGUAAUGGCUCACCAAGGCGACGAUCAGUAGCUGGUCUGAGAGGAUGAUCAGCCACAUUGGGACUGAGACACGGCCCAAACUCCUACGGGAGGCAGCAGUGGGGAAUAUUGGACAAUGGGCGCAAGCCUGAUCCAGCCAUGCCGCGUGAGUGAUGAAGGCCCUAGGGUUGUAAAGCUCUUUUACCCGGGAAGAUAAUGACGGUACCGGGAGAAUAAGCCCCGGCUAACUUCGUGCCAGCAGCCGCGGUAAUACGAAGGGGGCUAGCGUUGUUCGGAAUCACUGGGCGUAAAGCGCACGUAGGCGGAUCUUUAAGUCAGGGGUGAAAUCCCGAGGCUCAACCUCGGAACUGCCUUUGAUACUGGGGAUCUCGAGUCCGGGAGAGGUGAGUGGAACUGCGAGUGUAGAGGUGAAAUUCGUAGAUAUUCGCAAGAACACCAGUGGCGAAGGCGGCUCACUGGCCCGGUACUGACGCUGAGGUGCGAAAGCGUGGGGAGCAAACAGGAUUAGAUACCCUGGUAGUCCACGCCGUAAACGAUGGAUGCUAGCCGUUAGGCAGCUUGCUGUUUAGUGGCGCAGUUAACGUUUUAAGCAUCC
This 811-nucleotide ribosomal RNA is filed under the name uncultured Alphaproteobacteria bacterium. RNAcentral's name for it is "bacterial SSU rRNA". It matches the Rfam family "Bacterial small subunit ribosomal RNA", at positions 11 to 869 of the family's 1533-position model. The record is from RNAcentral. Lineage: Bacteria; Pseudomonadati; Pseudomonadota; Alphaproteobacteria.